GGGUUGUGAGGUUAAGCGACUAAGCGUACACGGUGGAUGCCCUGGCAGUCAGAGGCGAUGAAGGACGUGCUAAUCUGCGAAAAGCGUCGGUAAGGUGAUAUGAACCGUUAUAACCGGCGAUGUCCGAAUGGGGAAACCCAGUGCAAUUCGUUGCACUAUCGUUAACUGAAUACAUAGGUUAACGAGGCGAACCGGGGGAACUGAAACAUCUAAGUACCCCGAGGAAAAGAAAUCAACCGAGAUUCCCCCAGUAGCGGCGAGCGAACGGGGAGCAGCCCAGAGUCUGAAUCAGCUUGUGUGUUAGUGGAACGGUCUGGAAAGUCCGACGGUACAGGGUGAUAGUCCCGUACACCAAAAUGCACAGGCUGUGAACUCGAAGAGUAGGGCGGGACACGUGGUAUCCUGUCUGAAUAUGGGGGGACCAUCCUCCAAGGCUAAAUACUCCUGACUGACCGAUAGUGAACCAGUACCGUGAGGGAAAGGCGAAAAGAACCCCGGCGAGGGGAGUGAAAAAGAACCUGAAACCGUGUACGUACAAGCAGUGGGAGCACCUUCGGGUGUGACUGCGUACCUUUUGUAUAAUGGGUCAGCGACUUAUAUUCUGUAGCAAGGUUAACCGUAUAGGGGAGCCGCAGGGAAACCGAGUCUUAACUGGGCGUUAAGUUGCAGGGUAUAGACCCGAAACCCGGUGAUCUAGCCAUGGGCAGGUUGAAGGUUGGGUAACACUAACUGGAGGACCGAACCGACUAAUGUUGAAAAAUUAGCGGAUGACUUGUGGCUGGGGGUGAAAGGCCAAUCAAACCGGGAGAUAGCUGGUUCUCCCCGAAAGCUAUUUAGGUAGCGCCUCGUGAAUUCAUCUUCGGGGGUAGAGCACUGUUUCGGCUAGGGGGUCAUCCCGACUUACCAACCCGAUGCAAACUACGAAUACCGAAGAAUGUUAUCACGGGAGACACACGGCGGGUGCUAACGUCCGUCGUGAAGAGGGAAACAACCCAGACCGCCAGCUAAGGUCCCAAAGUCAUGGUUAAGUGGGAAACGAUGUGGGAAGGCACAGACAGCCAGGAUGUUGGCUUAGAAGCAGCCAUCAUUUAAAGAAAGCGUAAUAGCUCACUGGUCGAGUCGGCCUGCGCGGAAGAUGUAACGGGGCUAAACCAUGCACCGAAGCUGCGGCAGCGACACUAUGUGUUGUUGGGUAGGGGAGCGUUCUGUAAGCCUGCGAAGGUGACCUGUGAGGGUUGCUGGAGGUAUCAGAAGUGCGAAUGCUGACAUAAGUAACGAUAAAGCGGGUGAAAAGCCCGCUCGCCGGAAGACCAAGGGUUCCUGUCCAACGUUAAUCGGGGCAGGGUGAGUCGACCCCUAAGGCGAGGCCGAAAGGCGUAGUCGAUGGGAAACAGGUUAAUAUUCCUGUACUUGGUGUUACUGCGAAGGGGGGACGGAGAAGGCUAUGUUAGCCGGGCGACGGUUGUCCCGGUUUAAGCAUGUAGGCUGAUUGUCCAGGCAAAUCCGGAUAAUCAAGGCUGAGGUGUGAUGACGAGGUACUACGGUGCUGAAGUAACAAAUGCCCUGCUUCCAGGAAAAGCCUCUAAGCAUCAGGUAACAUCAAAUCGUACCCCAAACCGACACAGGUGGUCAGGUAGAGAAUACCAAGGCGCUUGAGAGAACUCGGGUGAAGGAACUAGGCAAAAUGGUGCCGUAACUUCGGGAGAAGGCACGCUGGUGUGUAGGUGAAGUCCCUGCGGAUGGAGCUGAGACCAGUCGAAGAUACCAGCUGGCUGCAACUGUUUAUUAAAAACACAGCACUGUGCAAACACGAAAGUGGACGUAUACGGUGUGACGCCUGCCCGGUGCCGGAAGGUUAAUUGAUGGGGUUAUCCGUAAGGAGAAGCUCUUGAUCGAAGCCCCGGUAAACGGCGGCCGUAACUAUAACGGUCCUAAGGUAGCGAAAUUCCUUGUCGGGUAAGUUCCGACCUGCACGAAUGGCGUAAUGAUGGCCAGGCUGUCUCCACCCGAGACUCAGUGAAAUUGAACUCGCUGUGAAGAUGCAGUGUACCCGCGGCAAGACGGAAAGACCCCGUGAACCUUUACUAUAGCUUGACACUGAACAUUGAGCCUUGAUGUGUAGGAUAGGUGGGAGGCUUUGAAGCGUGGACGCCAGUCUGCGUGGAGCCAACCUUGAAAUACCACCCUUUAAUGUUUGAUGUUCUAACGUUGGCCCCUUACCGGGGUUGCGGACAGUGUCUGGUGGGUAGUUUGACUGGGGCGGUCUCCUCCCAAAGCGUAACGGAGGAGCACGAAGGUUAGCUAAUCCUGGUCGGACAUCAGGAGGUUAGUGCAAUGGCAUAAGCUAGCUUGACUGCGAGCGUGACGGCGCGAGCAGGUGCGAAAGCAGGUCAUAGUGAUCCGGUGGUUCUGAAUGGAAGGGCCAUCGCUCAACGGAUAAAAGGUACUCCGGGGAUAACAGGCUGAUACCGCCCAAGAGUUCAUAUCGACGGCGGUGUUUGGCACCUCGAUGUCGGCUCAUCACAUCCUGGGGCUGAAGUAGGUCCCAAGGGUAUGGCUGUUCGCCAUUUAAAGUGGUACGCGAGCUGGGUUUAGAACGUCGUGAGACAGUUCGGUCCCUAUCUGCCGUGGGCGCUGGAGAAUUGAGGGGGGCUGCUCCUAGUACGAGAGGACCGGAGUGGACGCAUCACUGGUGUUCGGGUUGUCAUGCCAAUGGCACUGCCCGGUAGCUAAAUGCGGAAGAGAUAAGUGCUGAAAGCAUCUAAGCACGAAACUUGCCCCGAGAUGAGUUCUCCCUGAGACUUUAAGUCUCCUGAAGGAACGUUGAAGACGACGACGUUGAUAGGCCGGGUGUGUAAGCGCAGCGAUGCGUUGAGCUAACCGGUACUAAUGAACCGUGAGGCUUAACCUUACAACGCCGAAG
This 2923-nucleotide ribosomal RNA is filed under the name Klebsiella pneumoniae. RNAcentral describes it as "bacterial LSU rRNA". It matches the Rfam family "Bacterial large subunit ribosomal RNA". Lineage: Bacteria; Pseudomonadati; Pseudomonadota; Gammaproteobacteria; Enterobacterales; Enterobacteriaceae. The record is from RNAcentral.